GACGGAGGGGGCAAGCGUUGUCCGGAAUCACUGGGCGUAAAGCGCACGUAGGCGGGACGGUGCGUCGGUGCUGAAAGCGCCAGGCUUAACCUGGCGAGGCGUGCCGAUACGACCGACCUCGAGGCAGACAGAGGGUGGCGGAAUUCCGGGUGUAGUGGUGAAAUGCGUAGAGAUCCGGAGGAACGCCGGUGGCGCAAGCGGCCACCUGGGUCUGACCUGACGCUGAGACGCGAAAGCGUGGGGAGCAAACAGG
This 253-nucleotide ribosomal RNA is filed under the name uncultured bacterium. RNAcentral's name for it is "partial 16S ribosomal RNA". It matches the Rfam family "Bacterial small subunit ribosomal RNA", at positions 524 to 776 of the family's 1533-position model. The record is from RNAcentral.